GCGCGCGUAGGUGGUUAAUUAAGUCAAAUGUGAAAUCCCCGAGCUUAACUUGGGAAUUGCAUUCGAUACUGGUUAGCUAGAGUAUGGGAGAGGAUGGUAGAAUUCCAGGUGUAGCGGUGAAAUGCGUAGAGAUCUGGAGGAAUACCGAUGGCGAAGGCAGCCAUCUGGCCUAAUACUGACACUGAGGUGCGAAAGCAUGGGGAGCAAACAGGAUUAGAUACCCUGGUAGUCCAUGCCGUAAACGAUGUCUACUAGCCGUUGGGGGAUUUGAUCCUUUAGUGGCGCAGCUAACGCGAUAAGUAGACCGCCUGGGGAGUACGGUCGCAAGACUAAAACUCAAAUGAAUUGACGGGGGCCCGCACAAGCGGUGGAGCAUGUGGUUUAAUUCGAUGCAACGCGAAGAACCUUACCUGGCCUUGACAUAGUAGAGACUUUCCAGAGAUGGAUUGGUGCCUUCGGGAAUCUACAUACAGGUGCUGCAUGGCUGUCGUCAGCUCGUGUCGUGAGAUGUUGGGUUAAGUCCCGCAACGAGCGCAACCCUUUUCCUUACUUGCCAGCAUUUCGGAUGGGAACUUUAAGGAUACUGCCAGUGACAAACUGGAGGAAGGCGGGGACGACGUCAAGUCAUCAUGGCCCUUACGGCCAGGGCUACACACGUGCUACAAUGGUCGGUACAAAGGGUUGCUACACAGCGAUGUGAUGCUAAUCUCAAAAAGCCGAUCGUAGUCCGGAUCGCAGUCUGCAACUCGACUGCGUGAAGUCGGAAUCGCUAGUAAUCGCGGAUCAGAAUGCCGCGGUGAAUACGUUCCCGGGCCUUGUACACACCGCCCGUCACACCAUGGGAGU
Molecule: ribosomal RNA, 846 nt
Filed under: Acinetobacter sp. NF124
Lineage: Bacteria; Pseudomonadati; Pseudomonadota; Gammaproteobacteria; Moraxellales; Moraxellaceae
Description: bacterial SSU rRNA
Rfam family: Bacterial small subunit ribosomal RNA
Source: RNAcentral